RNA transcript from Gadus macrocephalus (Pacific cod), 4350 nucleotides. RefSeq lists it as uncharacterized. The record is from RefSeq and is a predicted model, not a curated record. The transcript has 7 exons. NCBI's taxonomy places the organism in Eukaryota, Metazoa, Chordata, Actinopteri, Gadiformes, Gadidae.
AUCUGGUUUAGAAGCAUGUUUCUGUGAGUAGCCUUUAUAAUUUGAGUAGGCUACCUUUAUCACAGUCAAAGUAAUCUGAUUGGGUUUGUUAUAGGUAGUGAUAUAUGAGUCGUGUAUAAGGAUUGUGGAAAUCUGAGAUAAAUCCAACAUACUUCAGAGAUGGUAUGCAGAUGGUUAUACUAUAGUUAUGUCUGGCAGUCUAGAAACAGAUAUUAUCAACCGGAGACAGAACCAGACACCGUCUGCGUGCCUUUGUGUCCGAACAAUGCUCAGUGGGCUGUAGAACAAUACGGGGCUCUGGUGGGUCUAUGGAGGAACAACUUACUUUUCGAUAUAAUAUAAAUAUUAUAAGCACAUAUAUAACAAUUAUUAUUAGAUUAUUAGAGUAUUUCAGCUCUUCUUCUUCAAACAAAGGUUAGGCUAUUCAUCCAUGCCCUGCAGAUUCCCGAAAUGUGAUUCGAAGAGCAGAUCAGAGAUAAGAAAAAAUAUAUAAAUAUCUUUUUUUAAAGUAGAGGUACCCCGACGGAUGGGGACCGAGUUCAUAGGCGCAGAGGAACAACAUGAAUCUUCUUCUUCUUUUGGCCCCUUCGCGCACGCACGCACGUGCACACGCACUCAAAAACACACGCAAACACCCACAAGCGCACACACGCACAGAGAAGCACGCGCGGGCCUAUUUCGACCGCUCUCUCGUGGCUCCCUUCCAGUAUCCAGGCCUGGUUUCGUUCAUUACCAAAAAGAGAGUCUUCAGAAAUCAACACCACUAGUCUCUGCGGGUUGAAGCAACUUUUUUUUUUUUUCAAAAAAGAAGAAAAACUACAGAAGUGAAGGAUCGUCUCGGGACCACGCAAAAGAUGCCAUCUGGGAUUCGCAAAACAAUUCUGGUGGAUCUCUGACAGAACCCGUUCUCGACCCGACUCUGGCGAAGGAGAAACAGCCGUCGAAUCACAAGUUUGCACCUGAAGACUUUUCUCCCGCGUUUUUUUGCAGCGGUAUCAUUGUUAUCUUCAAUGCGUGAUUAAGGAACAACGAAGCAGGCUCCCCGCGCCCAGUCUCCACCUUCUUUAAUAGGUCCAUGGUCUCCACGUCUGUGUGUUAAUGUGUGUGUGUGUGUGUGUGUGUGUGUGUGUAAGUGAAAGUGACCGUGCCCUCGGGGGAAUAUGUGUGUGAUUGCAGAGAACGGAUUGCUCUCUCUUUUCUGACCCUGCACGCAUCCAGAUGUUACGUGUUUCGCAGGCGCGCUGCAUGUCAGACUGAAAAGUAUUCGAGAAACUCCUUGGAAGUGAUUGUCUUUAUUAUUUUUUAUAUAUAUAUACUUAGGUCCGUUAGUCCUUGAUGAAUAGGCCCCAAUAGAAGCCAAAAAAACGUCUGAACCUGACAAAAUGCCAAGGAUGUCCUGGAGUAUUGCUGAUUUACUUAACUUGUAAUCUACGGGGAUUCUGUCCAGUUAUUAGGUUCAAAUAAUGGAGACUGGCAAAUUGAGGACCCUUCUGUUCCUGGAGAUAAAUGUGUUUAUACUUUCGACUUUUCCGCUUUGUUUGCAAGGCCAGAGCACCGAGCAUGUGAUCGAUCUACUCGCUGCGUUGAACCUGUCCCAGCCCGUAAAAGGCAUAUCCAAGAUCCACGACGAAGAUCCUUCUGGGUCCACUACGGCCUAUAAGCUCCGCCCCAAAGCCCCCCACCUGACCCUGCCGCCCGAGUACUCCCGCCUCCUGGCCUCGGGCGGGGCCGGCUCCCUGGGGGUGCACCUGGUGGCGCGCCAGGUCCACGACACCAGCGCCACCCUGCUGUCCUUCUCCUCCCGCUCCUCCCCGCUGCUCCAGCUGGUCUCCUCCACCCGGAACAGCAGCCUGCGCUUGGACCGCGGCGUGGAGGGGCCCGGUGCCGGGGGGCUGCUCAGCCUGGUCCUCCCAGGAGGGAACCCCUUCUCCGGGGCCCGCUGGGCGCGCCUCGCCCUGGGCCUGGAGCCGGACAGAGUGAGUCUGUUUGUAGACUGUGAGGAGGCGGUCGUCGUCCGACGCCGAGGGGAGGAGAGGGUCGAUCUGAGGGCGUUUCCCCGGGACCUGAGGGUGACUCUGGGCAGCGCGAUGGGGGACAGCGACAGCAAGUUCAGCGGAUACUUGAAGACAGCUGAGAUCUCCCUAAAAGCAUAUGGAAGGCGUCCCUGGCAUUGUCCCAAUAUAACAGAUGGACCUCCUUCCCCGGCUCAGCCCACACCCGGCCCCGGUCUGGACCCUCUGGACGACCAGGGGCCGCAGCGGCUCCAGAAGGACGCGCCCCAGAGAGGGGCGUCCCUGGGGCCUCCGGGGCACCCCCAGGGGGGGAGGCUGGCCUCGCCCCCGCCCCUGGAGGAGAGGCUGAGGGGGCUGGUGCAGAGGCUGGAGCAGAUGGCCGUCCUGCUGGACGCGGUCAAAGCCCAGAACACAGACCUCCAGUCGCGCGUGCACUACCUGGAGGGCUGUGAAUGUGUGAGGCGGCGGAAGUGCACGUGGGAGGGGCGAGAGGUGGAGGAGGGGCAUCGCUGGCAGACCCUCUCGAACACCUGCACCUGCACCUCGGGACGGGUCGCGUGCGAGGCCAUCGUCGUGGCUAGUUUUCAGAUGGCUGCCCUCUCCCUCGACCCCUGCAUGUCUAGCCCUUGCCAAAACGGAGGCCUAUGUCUCUCCUUGACCUCUAACCUUUCCAAUGAAUUCCGCUGCUCCUGCCCUCCGAACACCAAGGGCCCAGUGUGCCAGAGGCAGCAGAGAGAGGUACAGCCCGAGCUACAGCCGACCACUGUGUUCACUAGAGGAGUUAGGCUCCAUCUAUCAGAGGAAAUGUUGCUAUGGUUCCCUGAUAAACGGUAUAAAGGUUAUUUAGGUAUUUGCAUUUUUUUUUUUUUUUAUUCCUGUCAUUUUCGGAAGUGGCACAAAUUUGUUAUUUCCUGGUAACAUGUUUGGAAUGACAAACAUGCCAAUUGUAUGUUUCAUCACCUGACAGGUCUCCAAAACCUUUGAAAUGCUGGAGGUGGGUCUCAAUCAUAAGUGAAACUAGCCGGUUCCACUUAUGAAGCUUCAUGUUGUUGCUUAUUAGUCUCCUUGUAGCCUAUAGUUAUUUAGUGCUUGCCUUGUGUUUCUCUUAGUAGAUGCUCAAUACAGGUAGGUAUUCAAUGGUAGGCCAGUGGUGUAAAUGGCAUUAGUUAUGUGUUUAGAAACCAUAGCUUUGUGUCUGCCUGUCGCAUGUCAGUUGGUUUGUCGGUCGGUUGGUUUGGGACUGACCUAAAUCAGUCUGUGUGUGCUCAUGUUGCUAGUCCAUGUUGUCCAUAAGUUAUACUGCUCGUUUAUUUGUACUGUGGCCAUAUAAGGAGUAAGGGUGGGGGCUAAGCAUGAUAGGUAAGAGGCCGUAAGAGGUUUCCUGCACUCCUCUCCAUCUCUAGGCAUGCUGGGAACCCAGGCCAGAGAAAGUCUGUGAGGGCAGACGCUCUAUUCAACACCGCUGGGCUUUUAAUCCCAUCUCGGGUCUCUGUGAAGUCUUCUUAUUCUGCUCUGGGUCCAGCCGCAACAACUUCCCCUCCCACAGCGCCUGCAGGGAGCAGUGCCUGCUGGGAGCCUGCUGCAUUCGUAAACCCAAACCCAAGCACCCCUUCACUGGCCAGGUUGACUCCUGGCGAAUCAAACACAACGUAUCCAAUGCCAUCCCGAGCACGAGUGUGGAGGGGAACUGCGACGAAGACUCCCACUUCCUGUACACCUGCAAGUACCUGUCCCGUCCCCGCUGCCGGGCCCUGGUGAAGGGGCUCCCCGGGGCGGCUGCGGUGGUGAGCUUCUCCCCCGGGGAUAAGUGUUCGGAGGUGGGCUGCGGGGACGGGUGUGCCUGCCUCUCCCCGCAGAACCAGCACCGCGGGCAGUACAGCCAGAGGCUGGCGCGAGGCUGUGUGGAGGGCGUGUGCGCGGUCGCCGGGGGGAACGGAGACUUUGUUUGUGCACACUCGACCCGGCGGAAGGAGAUCAGAGACCUGACGGUGAAAGAAGUGAAGCUUUACCAGCGGGCUGUCAGAAGACUGCAUGCUAAACCAGCGACAUGGGGGGACUUCGUCCAGCUCAGGGCCGAGUUCUCUCCCCAGGCGGGGGGUCACGCUGACUUCCUGCCCUGGCACCGCUACUUCCUGCGUCUCCUGGAGCGCGAGCUGCAGUCUCUGUCGCCGUGCCAACUCUCCGUUCCGUAUUUCGAGUGGACGGUGGACUCGGGCUCCAUGGCGUCCUCGGAGGCGUGGCAGGCCGGUCUGUUCGGGGGGGACGGGGAGCCGGGGUCCGACUGCGUCCGCCAGCACCCCUUCAGCGGCGUGUCGGGCCGCUCCCGCUGGAGCCCCUG